GCUGGGCACGGUGGCGCACACCUGUAAUCCCAGAGGCUCAGGAGGCUGAGGCAGGAGGAUCAUGAGUUCAAAGCCAGCCUCAGCAACAGCGAGGCACUUAGCAGCUCAGUGAGACCCUGUCUCUA
RNAcentral lists this small RNA (125 nucleotides) under Marmota monax (woodchuck). The record is from RNAcentral. Lineage: Eukaryota; Metazoa; Chordata; Mammalia; Rodentia; Sciuridae.